AUGAGAUGUUAGUUGGUACAGGCAGGGGUUUCCAGGACCGGCACGCCCUUGCGGAGUGCCUGCUGGAGGGAGCCGGUGUGUCCAGGACGCCCUUGCGGAGUGUCUGCUGGAGGGAGCCGGUGUGUCAGUGAGAUGGCUAUGCCCCUGGGCUGCUGCGUCCCAGGUUUCCUCAGUCUCUAACCCUUUGUUCUCACAGGGGAUGGACUCUUCCUUCUUUUCCCAACUCCACCAAGAGGGACCGUCCCAGGACGUCCUUCCCUGGGCAUCCAGCCCUACAGCUGCCUGAGGUCUCCAUCACCGUUGGCGCCAUCAGUCUGCUGUGCAGCCAGCUGUUGGUUUGGAGAGCCUGAAGAACUGCAGUUCACGUCUCAUCUAAAGGAGCUGAAAUGAUAUUGCAGCUUUCUCUUUUGGUUGCGUGCGGUGAGAAUCUGGGAGCUGAACCUGUUAUCUGCAUGGUCUUCAGAAAUCAGGCAAACUCGGAAAAUGCCAACGCCAAAAAUGCUGAUGGGUGACAAAGUGUCACAGGUGUGAUGCAUUACAAAUCUCAGGACUUUUGUUCACUGGAUUUGAAAGGUCAAGCUUCACAGGAAAAUGAUGAAGUCCCAAAAGACCAGAAAUAUAUUUCAGAAGAUGCCAGUUACUGCUUUAAAAUGUCAAACCAACAUUUCAGAAAUAACUUUCAAUGAUUAUUUCCUGCCAAGAAGGUGAACGCUGGAGACCUUAAUGGUGGAAGAUGGAGGGCGUCUUUCCUUCUGUUAAGCUGACAACUUGGCUUCCAUCUUGUGAGGACCUCACCCUACCUGGUGGCAGAGGACGUCUGACGCCCUCAAUCAUUGCCAUUACACUUCCCAGCCUGGUGGUCAGUCUCCUGGGGUCUGUGUGUUAACAAACCAUCGACUGGACAAUCGCAGUUUUCCUUAUGAAGGCUUACUUUAAAAAGGCUCUGGAUUUUCAGAAGUGAAGUCGCUUUCAUCCCCGAUUCAGACCCAUCCUCGUGGAGGAAAAAUCCUACCAGAAGAAGGGCUGACCAUAGGAACUUGCCAUUUCCUUGACCCCAUCAUAUCUGAGGAAAAAACAACAGAAAAGGUCGAAACCCACGUGUACCCCCAACGUCCUGAUUGACGACUUUGCCUGCAGCUUCUGCUUUCCUGAAAUUCGCUGCUGCCUUUAGAACCCUUGUCUGCAGCCAGUGGGGGGGAGUUCAGGACUUAGGCGGAGCUGCCCCACCCUCCUGCUUGGCACCUUGCAAAUACAUGCCCUCCCUUCCAUUGCUGCAGACCUCAGAGUGGGCGUCCGGUCUCCUGUGUGGGAUGAGAAUACACGCCCUCCUUUCAAUCGCUGCAGACCUCAGAGUGGACGUCCGGUCUCCUGUGCGGGAUGAGAAUACACACCUUCCCUUCCACCGCUGCAGACCUCAGAGUGGACGUCCGGUCUCCUGUGUGGGAUAAUACACGCCCUCCUUUCAAUCGCUGCGGACCUCAGAGUGGGCGUCCGGUCUCCUGUGCGGGACAAGAAUACACUCCUUCCCUUCCAUCGCUGCAGACCUCAGAGUGGACGUCCGGUCUCCUGUGGGGGAUGAGAUACACUCCUUCCCUUCCACUGCUGCAGACCUCAGAGUGGACGUCCGGUCUCCUGUGUGGGAUGAGAUACACUCCUUCCCUUCCAUCGCUGCAGACCUCAGAGUGGACGUCCGGUCUCUCUGUGCGGGCCAAGUGUACACAGUUUUGUUCCGUCACAACUUCCACAACAGGCCAGUGUGAGGUUUUUGAGCUGGUGCUGACUGAAAACUGUCAGCUGCCCAAGGACCUGGGAGCUCUGCUCCCCACUCCUGGUGUGCGGGCUUGCGCCUGGCCUCCCUGCCUAGGUUACAUGCAGUGGUCAUCCCGGUCGCUCCCACACCCGUGUGGGCUCUGGGAUCCCCCCUUCCAGCCAGCCCAGGGGACAUCUGGCUGUCUCAGGACCCAGCCAUCUGUAAAAAUUAGGCAGGUCCCUUUAGUAUGCUCCUGGUCAACAAAGAAAAACUUCAAUUUUGAGAAUGGCAUCUGUAUUCCGAAGUGUUCUCUCAGAUGUUUGAGUUCCACUAAGUAGAUUUUCUUAGUCUGCUGUAUCAAUGACACAGAGAGAUGUGCAUUAAAACCUCAACCAUGUGGAUCUAUUUCUUUUCAGUUAAUUUUGCUUCAUGUAUCUUGAAGCUCUGUUAUCAGGUGCAUGCACAUUUGGGAUUGUUAUGCUUCCCUGAUGAACUGACCUUCUUUCAUUAUGCAAGGGGAAGAAGAUGCUGCAUACAGGAUGGAAUAUCCAGGGGAAGACGUCUAAGGAGAGAUGCCCAGCUGGGAGUCCUAUGCAAGGGGAAGAAGAUGCUGCAUACAGGAUGGGAUAUCCAGGGGAAGAUUUCUAAGGAGAGACACCCAGCUGGAAGUCAAGAUAUGUCAGUUGUUUCCAUUAUAAUAAAACCACUCAUGUUAGAUGAGCUGAACUUUCCCUUUUCCCCAGUUCUUAUGAUCAAAAAGUGGCUGUCCUAAAUUUCCUCACUCAAUAUCCUUGCUAGAGUCUUCCUUUGUCAGCCAGGCUGGAGUGCAAUGUGCAAUGGCACAAUCUUGGCUCACUGCAACCUCUGUCUCCUGGGCUCAAGCAAUUCUUCUGCCUCAGCCUCCUGAGUAGCUGGGAUUACAGGUAUGCACCACCAUGCCCAACUAAUUUUUGUAUUUCUGUAGAGACAAGGUUUCACCAUGUUGGCCAGGCUGGUCUCGAUCCUGACCUCAGGUAAUCUGCCCACCUUGGCCUCCCAAAGUGCUGGGAUUACAGACAUGAGCCAUCAUGCCCAGACAUAAGUGAGUUUUAUAUUGUAUUAUAACACUAUGAUACAGUAAAACCAUGAAAUCCAAAUUUAUAAUAAUAUCACCCUACAUAAUACAACUGUAACCUCACCGCCCUAUCCUGGGAUGUGUGUCAUUUUUAUAGCCAAUUAUGGUCCCCAGCUUUAGUUUUCUUUUGCUUAUUGGAGAGUGUAAUUCUCCCUUAUUCUUUUUGCUUUCUACAGUCUUGUGUACAUCAGUUAUCUGUUUUUGUCCUUUUGCCAGUGUUCAAAGUGUUAUUUUUCCUAUUUACUUAAGCUCCUGCAGGGAGAUUAGAAUUUCUUCCCCUAAGAAGAAAUAAGUAAUAGUGGAGACCUGCUGGGCACUGGUGGCGCCAGGCCUGGCUCCGGGGCUGCCCAUCCAUCCUCACAGCAUGGCGACUGGAGGGUCUUGCCCUGAGGUCCCGUGUGCGGAGCAGGGCUUGGCAUUCACUCCUAGGCACUGCUGACUCAGUCUGUCCUGGUGGUGCUGGGAGGCUGAAACCCGUCAUGCAUGUAGACCGCGGGGCCCCGUCUGGCAUGGUGCACCUGUGCUGGGAGUGCCUAUGGAGUAGGAAAAGUAUUCCUGGACCUUUAAAAAACUUAGGCCAAAAAAGUGUUUUGGUUGAAUCUUUGGCCAAAUUGGAACUGCAAACUCUGUAUUAUCUCCCCUUUUGUGAAAUUCUUUGGAAAAUUCGAGCAAAUAAGUAUGCAUUUCCCAGUG
RNAcentral lists this long non-coding RNA (3557 nucleotides) under Pan troglodytes (chimpanzee). Its description in RNAcentral is "lincRNA". The record is from RNAcentral. Lineage: Eukaryota; Metazoa; Chordata; Mammalia; Primates; Hominidae.